This 300-nucleotide ribosomal RNA is filed under the name uncultured Enteractinococcus sp. RNAcentral's name for it is "bacterial SSU rRNA". It matches the Rfam family "Bacterial small subunit ribosomal RNA", at positions 496 to 795 of the family's 1533-position model. The record is from RNAcentral. Lineage: Bacteria; Bacillati; Actinomycetota; Actinomycetes; Micrococcales; Micrococcaceae.
GCUAACUCCGUGCCAGCGGGCGCGGGAAUACGGAGGGGGCAAGCGGUAAUCGGAAUUACUGGGCGUAAAGCGCACGCAGGCGGUCAAUUAAGUCAGAUGUGAAAGCCCCGAGCUUAACUUGGGAAUUGCAUCUGAAACUGGUUGGCUAGAGUCUUGUAGAGGGGGGUAGAAUUCCGCGUGUAGCGGUGAAAUGCGUAGAGAUGUGGAGGAAUACCGGUGGCGAAGGCGGCCCCCUGGACAAAGACUGACGCUCAGGUGCGAAAGCGUGGGGAGCAAACAGGAUUAGAUACCCGGGUAGUC